This 1789-nucleotide ribosomal RNA is filed under the name Termatophylum hikosanum. RNAcentral describes it as "SSU rRNA". It matches the Rfam family "Eukaryotic small subunit ribosomal RNA". The record is from RNAcentral. Lineage: Eukaryota; Metazoa; Arthropoda; Insecta; Hemiptera; Miridae.
GUGAAACCGCAAAAGGCUCAGUAAACCAGUUAUGAUUUACUCGAGUAAACAAAUACUGUUUUUGGAUAACUGUGGUAAUCCUAGAGCUAAUACAUGCAAUCAAGUCCCGACCAGUUCACACUGGAAGGGACGCUUUUAUUAGAUCAAGACCAAUCGCUCGGUUCUCAAUCGAGCGUUACCUUGGUGACUCUAGGUAACACAUCAGAUCGCAUGGUCUCGCACCGGCGACUUAUCUUUCAAAUGCCUGACUUAUCAACUUACGAUGGUAGACUCUAUGUCUACCAUGGUUGUAACGGGUAACGGGGAAUCAGGGUUCGAUUCCGGAGAGGGAGCCUGAGAAACGGCUACCACAUCCAAGGAAGGCAGCAGGCACGCAAAUUACCCACUCCCGGCACGGGGAGGUAGUGACAAAAAAUAACGAUACGGGACUCUAUUGAGGCCCCGUAAUCGGAAUGAGUACACUUUAAAUCCUUUAACAAGGAUCCAUUGGAGGGCAAGUCUGGUGCCAGCAGCCGCGGUAAUUCCAGCUUCAAUAGCGUAUAUUAAAGUUGUUGCGGUUAAAAAGCUCGUAGUUGGUUCUGCGUGCUACGCUGUCGGUUCGCCGCUUGCUGGUGUAACUGGCAUGCCGUGGCAUGUCCUGUCGGUGGCCUGCAAGCACCUAUCCAUUCGAAGACCCGAUUCGUCGGUGUCCUAGGGUGGUAGGACCGUUUGUAAGCCUAUUUUAUCCUACCUAGGUGCUCUUCACCGAGUGUCGAGGUAGGCCGACACGUUUACUUUGAACAAAUUAGAGUGCUCAAAGCAGGCUGAAAUUUCUGCCUGAAUAGUGGUGCAUGGAAUAAUAAAACAGGACCUUGGUUCUAUUUUGUUGGUUCUUAGGAACACAAGGUAAUGAUCAAUACGGACAGGCGGGGGCAUUCGUAUUGCGACGUUAGAGGUGAAAUUCUUGGAUCGUCGCAAGACGCACAAGAGCGAAAGCAUUUGCCAAGUAUGAUACUAGGUUGAUCAUGACAUAAACGAUGCCAGCCAGCGAUCCGCCGACGUUCCUCCGAUGACUCGGCGGGGAGCUUUUUCCCGGGAAACCAAAGCUUUUGGGUUCCGGGGGAAGUAUGGUUGCAAAGCUGAAACUUAAAGGAAUUGACGGAAGGGCACCACAAGGAGUGGAGCCUGCGGCUUAAUUUGACUCAACACGGGAAACCUCACCAGGCCAGGACAUUGGAAGGAUUGACAGAUUGAUAGCUCUUUCUUGAUUCAGUGGGUAGUGGUGCAUGGCCGUUCUUAGUUGGUGAAUCGAUUUGUCUGGUUAAUUCCGAUAACGAACGAGACUCUAGCCUAUUAACUAGGCGUUUUCCGGUGUCCACGCCACCGGCGACAUUCAUUCUUCUUAAGGGGACAGGCGGCUUGUAGCCGCACGAGAUUGAGCAAUAACAGGUCUGUGAUGCCCUUAGAUGUCCUGGGCCGCACGCGCGCUACACUGAAGGAAUCAGCGUGUGUCUCCCUGGCCGAAAGGCCCGGGUAAUCCACUGAACCUCCUGCGUGCUAGGAAUUGGGGCUUGCAAUUGUUCUCCAUGAACGAGGAAUUCCCAGUAAGCGCGAGUCAUAAGCUAGCGUUGAUUACGUCCCUGCCCUUUGUACACACCGCCCGUCGCUACUACCGAUUGAAUGAUUUAGUGAGGUCUUCGGACUGGCGAUAAUCCCUACCGACGUCAGUUGGUUUCGAUGAACGCUGGAAAGAUGACCGAACUUGAUUAUUAGAGGAAGUAAAAGUCGUAACAAGGUUUCCGUAGGUGAA